ACCUGGCUGGCUCAGUGGGUAGAGCAUGUGACUCUUGAUCUCAGUGUUGUGAGUUUAAGCCCUAUGUUGGGGA
Molecule: transfer RNA, 73 nt
Filed under: Canis lupus familiaris (dog)
Lineage: Eukaryota; Metazoa; Chordata; Mammalia; Carnivora; Canidae
Also listed under: 3 other names
Rfam family: tRNA
About the family: Transfer RNA (tRNA) molecules are approximately 80 nucleotides in length. Their secondary structure includes four short double-helical elements and three loops (D, anti-codon, and T loops). Further hydrogen bonds mediate the characteristic L-shaped molecular structure. tRNAs have two regions of fundamental functional importance: the anti-codon, which is responsible for specific mRNA codon recognition, and the 3' end, to which the tRNAs corresponding amino acid is attached (by aminoacyl-tRNA synthetases). tRNAs cope with the degeneracy of the genetic code in two manners: having more than one tRNA (with a specific anti-codon) for a particular amino acid; and 'wobble' base-pairing, i.e. permitting non-standard base-pairing at the 3rd anti-codon position.
Source: Rfam by way of RNAcentral